CGAGGAUGGUGGAAAGAUGCGAAAGAGACAUCGAACAGAGCCACAACAAAUGAUAAGCAGAUGAAUGACGAGAAGAGCAAAGUUUCAGGCAGGCAAAAUGAUGUUUGGCGCCAUGACAGGUACUUUGAAGUAAAGGAAGAUCCUAAACCACCUGUGAAGAAAAGGUCAUUUAGGGAGGAAAAGAUUCCAGUGGAUACUGAAAAACUUGAGAAAGCUGUGACGGAGCUUGUUAAGCCUAAUCCUUCUCACCCUGAAGUAGAUGGCGGAAGAAAGAAUGAAAGAACUGACCACAUGUCACGCCAUCCUGGUAGAUAUGAGAGACCAUUUACUGGUGAGAGGUAUGCAAACAGGGGUCAAACAUGGAGGGGCAAAUUUCCAUCAAGAGACAGGUACCAUGGCAAUAGUGAUCACAGGGGGAGAGACAGAUUCAGUUCAAGGCAAGGACCUAAUCCAAGUAAGGUGGUUGAAAAGUGGAAACACGAUCUUUAUGAUGAGGCAAACAAGAAUCCAACUCCGAAGAAUGAAGAAGAUCAAAUAGCAAAAAUCGAAGCACUAUUGUCUUCAUAGGUCUUGCAGUUAAGUGAAGUGGUAGUUCCUGUUUCUUUGUUUGUCGAAAAAGGUAAGGGGGGGUUAUUACUGAUGAUCGAAGUAUUGCUGUACAAUCCUCUCAAUUUUGAUUUUAGGCAAUGCUAUUUUGUAUCUGUUGUUUGGAUUUGUG
RNAcentral lists this unclassified non-coding RNA (718 nucleotides) under Hevea brasiliensis (rubber tree). The record is from RNAcentral. Lineage: Eukaryota; Viridiplantae; Streptophyta; Magnoliopsida; Malpighiales; Euphorbiaceae.